Molecule: long non-coding RNA, 3240 nt
Filed under: Salmo salar (Atlantic salmon)
Lineage: Eukaryota; Metazoa; Chordata; Actinopteri; Salmoniformes; Salmonidae
Description: lncRNA (ENSSSAG00000111772.1)
Source: RNAcentral
CGCGCACGUGCAUGUAUGUAUGUGCGCAUGCAUGUGUGUGUGUAUGUAUGUGCAUGUGUGCGCAUGCGUGUGUAUGUGCGUGUGUGUGCGCGCGUGCGUGUGUGUGUGUGUGUGUUGAUUAAAGCCUCCUUUGGUGUUAGUAACAAAUGUAACCUCUUUACUACACCAGUACAUUUCAUUUACACCAUCUUUACAUAAACUGCAAUAUCAUCAUUUAUAAGGUUUGAGUUGGACCCUAAAAUCAACCAGGAAACCUUCACACAGAUUAAGUCUAGUCCUGGACUUAAAAGCAUACUCAAUGGAGAAUCCAUAUUGAAAUAGCUUCUUAGUCCAGCACUAUGUUUCAGUUGUGUCCAGGAAGUUGGUGUAGAGCCUACUACACAGAGGUUCAACUUUAAGCUCUCCAGUGAGAAUCAACAGGGACACAUCGAGUUUUGACACCAAAGAUAAUUUUUAAUUGUAUUUAUUUUCUCUCUGAAUUGCCCCACCAGCUACGGGGCGUCAGGGUGGACAGACAGACAUGCCAGUUGGUAGGAGAUAGUGUCUAGAUACCACAGGGCGGCAGGGUGGACAGACAGACAGGCCAGUUGGUAGGAGAUAGUGUCUAGAUACCACAGGGCGGCAGGGUGGACAGACAGACAGGCCAGUUGGUAGGAGAUAGUGUCUAGAUACCACAGGGCGGCAGGGUGGACAGACAGACAGGCCAGUUGGUAGGAGAUAGUGUCUAGAUACCACAGGGCGGCAGGGUGGACAGACAGACAUGCCAGUUGGUAGGAGAUAGUGUCUAGAUACCACAGGGCGGCAGGGUGGACAGACAGACAUGCCAGUUGUAAGGAGAUAGUGUCUAGAUACCACAGGGCGGCAGGGUGGACAGACAGACAUGCCAGUUGGUAGGAGAUAGUGUCUAGAUACCACAGGGCGGCAGGGUGGACAGACAGACAUGCCAGUUGUAAGGAGAUAGUGUCUAGAUACCACAGGGCGGCAGGGUGGACAGACAGACAUGCCAGUUGGUAGGAGAUAGUGUCUAGAUACCACAGGGCGGCAGGGCGGACAGACAGACAUGCCAGUUGGUAGGAGAUAGUGUCUAGAUACCACAGGGUGGCAGGGUGGCAGGGUGGACAGACAGACAUGCCAGUUGGUAGGAGAUAGUGUCUAGAUACCACAGGGCGGCAGGGCGGACAGACAGACAUGCCAGUUGGUAGGAGAUAGUGUCUAGAUACCACAGGGUGGCAGGGCGGACAGACAGACAGGCCAGUUGGUAGGAGAUAGUGUCUAGAUACCACAGGGUGGCAGGGUGGACAGACAGACAGGCCAGUUGGUAGGAGAUAGUGUCUAGAUACCACAGGGUGGCAGGGUGGACAGACAGACAGGCCAGUUGGUAGGAGAUAGUGUCUAGAUACCACAGGGAGGCAGGGUGGACAGACAGACAUGCCAGUUGGUAGGAGAUAGUGUCUAGAUACCACAGGGCGGCAGGGUGGACAGACAGACAUGCCAGUUGGUAGGAGAUAGUGUCUAGAUACCACAGGGCGGCAGGGUGGACAGACAGACAUGCCAGUUUGUAGGAGAUAGUGUCUAGAUACCACGGGCGGCAGGGUGGACAGACAGACAUGCCAGUUGGUAGGAGAUAGUGUCUAGAUACCACAGGGUGGACAGACAGACAUGCCAGUUGGUAGGAGAUAGAUAGACAGUGCCUAGAUACCUUCUCUAAAGCCAGCAACACAUUUAGAAUGAGUCCCAAAUGGCACCCUAUUCUCAUAGGGCCCUGGUCAAAAGUAGUGCACUAUAAACUGAAUAGGCUGCCAUUUGGGAUGCAUCAUUCGCCUUUUAAAAGAUUAUGUCAAAUCUGAGGUGUGUCAGUUUGGGAUUUAUCUCACCACUUGAGGUUUGAAAACGUCUGACAAUCGUAGAUGUUUGGGAAGCACUACUUUGAGACAUGGGUGUUAUUAACAUUUUAUACCGUUUUAAAGUUGAAAUGUACCUGCAGGAAAUCAACUGUAUAUGUUUUUGAUAUAUGAGAAAGGAACUUAAACUCAAUAGGACUUUUCUAUUGAGAGAAUGAGUCAAUGAUAGAUUAUUAUUAUUAUUAGUAGCUUAUCAGCAUUGUGUACUCUCACUGAGGACCUAUAAGAAGCAGUUUCACCUUUGUCCCGCCCCCUUCUCACCUGUCACAGACCUUUUCUCGUAUGAUUGACACUGCAGCUAUCCACUCCCAGCACUCUAUCCACAAUGUUAAAGCCCAACACUAAUUAUAAGAGGACUGGGGUCCGUUCAAGAGGGGGCGAUGUUCUGACAAAAUGUUUGUGAUUAGAAAUGAGAUGAGUGGACAUGAUUCUGUCCCAGAGGCCAGUCUAUUCUACACAAGGUAGAAGCAUUCACUAGGCAGCGAAUGGAAGAACAACUGACUGCAACGGAAAGAGACUACCUGGACUCCAAUAAGAAACACUCAUUAUCAUUUUUUCCAUAUUAAAAACGUUUUCAGUUGCAUGACCUAAUGAAUACAACCCUGUCAGCUAACGUGUCAGUUUGUUCCAUAGAAAUAUAAUGUUUAGAAUCCAUAGAAAUAUAAUGGUGCAUUGUCAUGUCAAUUUCAAUGCUCCUGUCAAACCUAGAUGGUUGAAUGAAUGUGUUGUUCCAUACCAUGUUACUUAACAGAAGUCAUCUUGCUGUAGAAUAUCGUUUGGCCCAUCUGUUGUUGUCUGAAAGCUUCCAUGUUGCUGUAGAAUGUCAUUUGACCCAUCUGUUGUUGUCUGAAAGCUUCCAUGUUGCUGUAGAAUGUCAUUUGACCCAUCUGUUGUUGUCUGAAAGCUUCUAAUGGGGAAGGUUGUUUGGUAACACAUUACGUAAAAGCCAACUGGUAUAAUGCCUUAUAACUUGUUAUAAGCAUGUAUGCACCUUUAUAGAAGUGUUACAGGCACUACAUGUUCAUUUACUUUCUAUGGAAUGACUGUCACUACUCCACUCCAGACAUAUAGUACUCCUUCAUCAUGGGUAACACCGACCAGUAUAAUGCCUUAAACUUGGUAGAAGCUUGUAUGAGCAUAUUAUAAAGUUAAUCAUCUGAUUCUAUGGGAUGUGUUGUCAGUCUGUGUGUAAUCUCGUUCCCAUACACUUCCGCCCAAAUGCCAAGAGUCUGGUGUACCAUCGCGUCAAACUUCGUUAGCCAAUACAGAAAGUCUGGGGACGAGCAUUCAAAAAGUGUUUCUCCAUCAUUAAUGUAACAUGGGCAGAACCAGCCUGUCC